Molecule: long non-coding RNA, 2570 nt
Filed under: Marmota monax (woodchuck)
Lineage: Eukaryota; Metazoa; Chordata; Mammalia; Rodentia; Sciuridae
Source: RNAcentral
GAAGAAAUGGCUGACGCAUGUCUGUCUGGUUCCACAGCCUGCACUCCAGCUGUGCCCUGAAAGAUGAGACAAACUUACCUUGAACUUGUCUGCUGUGUGUCCUCUCUGAUGCCAGCCAGCCAUGAUAAUUCCCAUUUUUCCUGCUCUUAUCCUGGCAUCUCCCCAGGGUCCUUCGUCCUUCUGUGCCACCAUAAAAGUGAAUCUCAGAAUUGGCAGAGUUUAGACUUCAGAAAUCUCCCAGGGCCUGUCUAACAGACUCCCAUCCAGCUGUGUUCGCACAUCUGCAAAAGGAAGCCUGCCACUUUUGUGAAUGACUACCUACUUUGUUGGUAAACAACUGAAAUGUAUGGGAUGUUGGGGGGCCUUUCAAAACAAAUGUACUUUUCAAAUCAUUAAUUCAAGCCCAUAAUUUCAAAAAUCAAGUCCAGUUGCUAGAGAAAGGAGAUAUCAUGGAGUAGGUCUCCUCAGUGCAGAAUUCCAGUCCCACAUUCUGUGUCCCAGAUGCAACCUCUCUGAACAGUUUUUGGUUCUCUGUUAUAAAAGACAGGCUGCGCACGCACAAGCAGAUCCAGGUGUGUGCCCCAACUCUGUUUAUUCCAACAAGGGAGCACCCACAUGUGUUCUGCAUCUGGCUUCUUAAUACAUCUUAGAGAUGGUUCCAUACCAGGACUGAAGCGUUAUAAAUAAAAAGUACCAAUCUUGUUGAAGAUUCAUAGAAUGUUUACUACAUACCAGAUACUCUUCUGAAUUCUUCACAUUAUUUAAAUUGCUGAAAUCUUUACAAUUGACCAUGAGAUAGAUCUAGUCAUUAUCCCCAAGGAACAGAGGUUAGGUAAAUGGCCAAAUUAACCCAGCUGAAAUGGCAGGAAAUCCAGGCAUUCUGGCACGAGAGCUGGUACUUGCAGCCAGUAUAUGCUACAAUCCCUCCAUGCUGCGAGAUUCCGCAUUGCCCAGAAUUGUGGCUCUGGCCAGCCCUUGCUUUACAGAAAGCAAAAAGUGAAUAUUUUGCUUUUCCAGGCAGGCAAGGAAAAGGGGAUUGGGACUGGAUCUUCCAAUAACGUGUGCCACUGGCGGAAAGGCUAGUGUCCCCUCUGAGAAGAUGUGUCCUUGCAAUGUGCCCUGUUGCCUUGUAGCUACAGCUGUGGUCUGAUGAUUAUAAAUAGAAGCAGCUUUCCUGGAAGAAGGUAUUUCUUGCAUGAGUUAAGUGGCAUCUUUAAGAUUUGUACGUGUUAGACUCUGUAAAGGAAUGUGCAAAUUAGAUUAGAAAAAAUCCAGUUAGAAUGCUUUGUUGCAUGUGAUAGAAUCCAGCUUGAAAAAACCAGUAUGGCCUUCAACAGAUGAAUGGAUAAAGAAAAUGUGCAUAUAUACACAAUGGAAUAUCACUCAGCCAUAAAGAAGAAUGAAAUUAUGGCACUUGCUGCUAAAUGGAUGGAACUGGAGACUGUCAUGCUAAGUGAAAUAAGCCAACCCCCGAAACCAAAGUUUGAAUGUUCUCUCUGAUAUGUGGAUGCUGACACAAAAUAAGGGUGUGUGUAUUUUGGGGGGGGGAGAAUAAAAGUUCAUUGGAUUAAACAAAGGGGAAUGAAGAGAAAGGAGGGGGACUGGGAAUAAGAAAGUAGAAUGAACUGGACAUCACUUUCCUAUGUUCAUAUGUGAAUGCACAACCAGUGUGACUCACACCAUGUUUAAACACAAGAAUGGGAUCCCAGUUAGACUCCACGUAUGUAUAAUAUGUCAAAAUACACUCUACUGUCAUGCAUAUCCAAAAAGAACAAAAAAUAAAUAAAGCCAGUGUGGGCAGAAAGGAGGGGCGGGUUAUUGGCUCCCAAAACAAAUCAUGGAAAGACAAGCAUGAGCAGUAAUGUAAUGGGAACCUUGGGCAAGUUAUUCCAUCUCCCUGUGCCCUGGAAUCCUAAACUGCAGACAGGGAACAACAGUAGCCCCUCAGAAAGCUGGAGUGGGUACAGUUAAAUGAGCUGUAUGAAGGGACAGUUCCUGGCACUUGGCACUCCAGAAGUAGUAACUUUGCAGGGACAACUCUUUGCAAAGAUGUGAACUCCAUUGAGCUGGCUGGCUUUCCUCUCUCUUUUUCAUUUGCACAUUAGUAAAGGGACAUAUUCGGGUACUGUAACAAAGAAACCACCAAAAUGUAGUUCCUCCAGCAAGAUAGAAGUUUCUCUCUCAUCUCACAGUGCGUAGAUAGGCAGAUGGGCCAAGGCAGGUGAGUGAUGGGCUCCAUGAUGUCAUCAGGCACCCCAGCUCCUACUGUAUUGUCACAUUGCUGAGAGCCACAGCCGAUUGGGAAUGACGCAUAGCAUUUGUGCCAGAAGGGAGUGGUUGAGAGGUGACGUCAGCGAGCCAUUGAGAUGAUGAUGGUUAUGUUAAGCUGUGUGUUCAGUUGUGUAUUAGACCUCUGCUGUCCGCCUCAGCCGCUACUUUGGAGUUCUCAAGAGCUACUUUGGAGGGCUGGGGAUGUGGCUCAAGUGGUAUCGCGCCCGCCUAGCAUGCGUGCCGCCCGGGUUCGAUCCUCAGCACCACAUACAAACAAAGAUGUUGUGUCCGCUGAAAAC